This 495-nucleotide ribosomal RNA is filed under the name uncultured bacterium. Its description in RNAcentral is "partial 16S ribosomal RNA". It matches the Rfam family "Bacterial small subunit ribosomal RNA", at positions 28 to 507 of the family's 1533-position model. The record is from RNAcentral.
GACGAACGCUGGCGGCGUGCCUAAUACAUGCAAGUAGAACGCUGAAGGAGGGGCUUGCUUCUCUGGAUGAGUUGCGAACGGGUGAGUAACGCGUAGGUAACCUGCCUGGUAGCGGGGGAUAACUAUUGGAAACGAUAGCUAAUACCGCAUAAUAUUGACUAUUGCAUGAUAGUCAGUUGAAAGGUGCAACUGCACCACUACCAGAUGGACCUGCGUUGUAUUAGCUAGUUGGUGGGGUAACGGCUCACCAAGGCGACGAUACAUAGCCGACCUGAGAGGGGGAUCGGCCACACUGGGACUGAGACACGGCCCAGACUCCUACGGGAGGCAGCAGUAGGGAAUCUUCGGCAAUGGACGGAAGUCUGACCGAGCAACGCCGCGUGAGUGAAGAAGGUUUUCGGAUCGUAAAGCUCUGUUGUAAGAGAAGAACGAGUGUGAGAGUGGAAAGCUCACACUGUGACGGUAUCUUACCAGAAAGGGACGGCUAACUACGUG